Molecule: long non-coding RNA, 454 nt
Organism: Calidris pugnax (ruff)
Lineage: Eukaryota; Metazoa; Chordata; Aves; Charadriiformes; Scolopacidae
Exons: 4
Source: RefSeq, a predicted model, not a curated record
GGUCCAGCCGGCAGGUAAAGCAGCGCUCAGCCUGGCCCACAGCCACCCUGCUGCUGGGGAGGAUUGGGGGGACCCGCUGCCAGCCCUUGGGGGGCAACGAGUGCCGGGACAUUGCUCACAGACCUGCUCCACGUCCGUCUUUUUUGGGGGGAAACCGCAGCUGAGGAGGCUCCGCAGGGCCUUGUUGUCUUCAAACGGUAACGGCAGGGGAAGGCGUUUCUGAGCACCAUGAUGUCCCUGGGUGUCAGUAAAGGAGGUUACAUCCCACCCACAGAUGAGGACCGCAGGAGAAUCAUUAAGCAGAUGAAGGUUCGUACCACCCUGAAAGGAGAUAAGAGCUGGAUCCACCACCAUAACUCAGACUCUGAGGAUGAGAAGAAGAGCAGCCCGACGUCUGGACGGGCCGGUGGAGGUUCCCCAGCCUCAAAACCUACUGCUCCCCAGAACGACAGGU